Molecule: ribosomal RNA, 497 nt
Filed under: uncultured bacterium
Lineage: Bacteria
Description: partial 16S ribosomal RNA
Rfam family: Bacterial small subunit ribosomal RNA
Source: RNAcentral
GAUGAACGCUGGCGGCGUGCCUAAUACAUGCCAGUCGAGCGAACAGACGAGGAGCUUGCUCCUCUGACGUUAGCGGCGGACGGGUGAGUAACACGUGGAUAACCUACCUAUAAGACUGGGAUAACUCCGGGAAACCGGAGCUAAUACCGGAUAAUAUAUUGAACCGCAUGGUUCAAUAGUGAAAGACGGUUUUGCUGUCACUUAUAGAUGGAUCCGCGCCGCAUUAGCUAGUUGGUAAGGUAACGGCUUACCAAGGCAACGAUGCGUAGCCGACCUGAGAGGGUGAUCGGCCACACUGGAACUGAGACACGGUCCAGACUCCUACGGGAGGCAGCAGUAGGGAAUCUUCCGCAAUGGGCGAAAGCCUGACGGAGCAACGCCGCGUGAGUGAUGAAGGUCUUCGGAUCGUAAAACUCUGUUAUUAGGGAAGAACAAAUGUGUAAGUAACUAUGCACGUCUUGACGGUACCUAAUCAGAAAGCCACGGCUAACUACGUG